GUCGGUCCUGCCCGUGCAGCGACGAUUAGGCAUGCCUUCCUCUUCAGUUCUAGGCACAAGUGCUACAUGGCCUUGGCCGAACUCGGGUUUCCUGUGUUGUAUACCUACCGGACGGAAUUUGACGGCCGAUAAUCGAACGAUCGUCUAAUGCCGCCCUCGUUGGUGGCUGCGGACGAUCCACGAAGCGAGAUAUGUGAUCCUCAAUGCAGAGCCUCUUGGCCUUGCUUUUGAGGCCCACAUUUCUUUGCUCGGACUGAGGGAUUCGGAAAAUUCUGUUGGUAUGGGGUCUUCGGGCCUUUAUUUACCGCACAUUCAAAAACAUUCGAACGACGUUCGACGGUGCGCUGGCCUGACGGCCACGCAUCUCGAUGUCCGUGAGGAAUGCUACCU
Molecule: unclassified non-coding RNA, 390 nt
Filed under: Galium exile
Lineage: Eukaryota; Viridiplantae; Streptophyta; Magnoliopsida; Gentianales; Rubiaceae
Description: partial external transcribed spacer
Source: RNAcentral